Odontomachus brunneus is the source of this 429-nucleotide long non-coding RNA. RefSeq lists it as uncharacterized. The record is from RefSeq and is a predicted model, not a curated record. The transcript has 3 exons. Lineage: Eukaryota; Metazoa; Arthropoda; Insecta; Hymenoptera; Formicidae.
GGACUGCGCAGGCGCUCGUUCGCUCCGCCUCUUCGAUCUCCGAAGAGUGUUUCCGUCGUGUUCGCCAGCAAUUCCAGACGACGAUUCGUGCGCCUGAGAUCCCGGGAGUCAUUCACCGCCGGAGUAUCGAAACCGGUCGGCUGCAGCGGAAACCGGUAAUGGCAGGGCAUUUCGCACGUGGAUCAGGAAAAUGGGACUUUGUUGUGUGACGGGGAAUUUUUAUCACGAACGCCUUCAUCGUCGAGAAAUUUCGAGUAAAUGGCCGACGUAGCUGAGCAAUAAAUGAAAUGUCCAAAACUUCAACUUCGUUUAGUGCUGUUACUAACAUUUUAUACUCACAAGUAACAUCCCAUUCUGACUGCGAAAGAGUGCCGAUUUUGCGAUGAUCGGGCAAGUUCUGCAUGUACUGAAUGGCAUGCUGAUAAUCCU